GAUGAACGCUGGCGGCGUGCCUAAUACAUGCAAGUCGAGCGAACAGACGAGGAGCUUGCUCCUCUGACGUUAGCGGCGGACGGGUGAGUAACACGUGGAUAACCUACCUAUAAGACUGGGAUAACUUCGGGAAACUGGAGCUAAUACCGGAUAAUAUAUUGAACCGCAUGGUUCAAUAGUGAAAGACGGUUUUGCUGUCACUUAUAGAUGGAUCCGCGCCGCAUUAGCUAGUUGGUAAGGUAACGGCUUACCAAGGCAACGAUGCGUAGCCGACCUGAGAGGGUGAUCGGCCACACUAGAAGUGAGACACGGUCCAGACUCCUACGGGAGGCAGCAGUAGGGAAUCUUCCGCAAUGGACGAAGGCUUGACGGAGCAACGCCGCGUGAGUUAUAGAAGUCUUCGGAUCGUAAAACUCUAUUAUUAGGGAAGGACAAAUGUGUAAGUAACUAUACACGUCUUGACGGUACCUGAUCAGAAAGCCACGGCUAACUACGUG
Molecule: ribosomal RNA, 497 nt
Filed under: uncultured bacterium
Lineage: Bacteria
Description: partial 16S ribosomal RNA
Rfam family: Bacterial small subunit ribosomal RNA
Source: RNAcentral